CCUGAACGCUGGCGGCGUGGCUAAGACAUGCAAGUCGUACGGGGGUGGCAGCAAUGCCAUCCAGUGGCGGACGGGUGAGUAAAGAAUCGCUAACGUACCCGAUCUCUGGGAUAGCCGGCCGAAAGGCCGGGUAAUACCGGGUAACAUCGCCCCGCGGCAUCGCGGGGCGCUCGAAGGGCAACCGGUUCGGGAGCGGGCGAUUUCGUAUCAGCUAGUUGGUGGGGUAACGGCCCACCAAGGCGACGACGCGUAGCUGGUCUGAGAGGACGAUCAGCCACACUGGGACUGAGACACGGCCCAGGACUCCUACGGGAGGCAGCAGUGGGGAAUCUUGGAC
Molecule: ribosomal RNA, 337 nt
Filed under: uncultured bacterium
Lineage: Bacteria
Description: bacterial SSU rRNA
Rfam family: Bacterial small subunit ribosomal RNA
Source: RNAcentral